This 445-nucleotide ribosomal RNA is filed under the name Carapoia sp. Br15-78. Its description in RNAcentral is "partial 16S ribosomal RNA". It matches the Rfam family "Bacterial large subunit ribosomal RNA", at positions 1830 to 2597 of the family's 2925-position model. The record is from RNAcentral. Lineage: Eukaryota; Metazoa; Arthropoda; Arachnida; Araneae; Pholcidae.
UUCUUUAAGAACAAUUAAUUUAAAGUAAAACCUGCUCACUGAUUAUUUUUCCCAUAAACAGCCGCAGUUAAACUGUGCUAAGGUAGCAUAAUAAUUAGCUUUUUAAUUAAAAGAUAGAAUGAAUGGUUAAAUGAAAUAAAUACUGUCUCUAAAAUAAAUAACUAAAUUAAACUAAAAGUAAAAAUUCUUUUACCUCAAAAAUAGACGACAAGACCCUAAUAAACUUAAUUAUUUUACUGGGGCGGUAAAACAAAAACACCUUAAUUACUAAUCACUUCCACAAUAAACCUAUACAAAAUAUAAUAAAGUUACUAUAGGGAUAACAGCGCAAUCUCUUUCCAAAGAUCUAAUAAAAAAAGAGACUUACGACCUCGAUGUUGAAUUAAUAUUCUCCUUAUUUAACGAAAAAGUUAAAAAUGAUGGACUGUUCGCCCAUUAAAAAAUU